This is a long non-coding RNA of Xenia sp. Carnegie-2017, 481 nucleotides long. RefSeq lists it as uncharacterized. Lineage: Eukaryota; Metazoa; Cnidaria; Anthozoa; Malacalcyonacea; Xeniidae. The transcript has 2 exons. The record is from RefSeq and is a predicted model, not a curated record.
GAAAACCGUGGACAUAUAAACAACUUAAAUGUAUAAGUAUAUGCCACGAACCUAUCUAAUAACCUCUACCAACGAUACGAUUUUAUUCAUUUCAAAUGUAAAACUGGUUGAUUGUGAUCGUGAGCGCUUGAGACAAUUGGAAAAUAUCGCGAAAAUUUCUAGAAACAAAUCGCAUUGGAUGAUGUGGCAAAAGAAUAGCAUAAGAACGAAGACGUCUGUAUCUGGGCUCUUUAUUAGGACACUGUCACAUGACUGAGACGCGUGAUUUGCAUGAAGUAGCAUUCUGGUGUCAGCCUCUUCAUGGUCACAAGAUAAUGUCGCUAUUUCUUGAACGAUAAUGGGUCCACUAUCAAUUCCUGGUUUAAGGCGAUGGCACUUGUCGUCAUGGCAAACGUAAACCACAAUACCAUUAAACAUCGUCGAUUUGUAUGUACACCACUGCUCAAAUAAAAAGCGAAUAAGUGCUUCUUUGUUUCCACCA